GACAGAGGGUGCAAACGUUUGUUCGGAAUUACUGGGCGUAAAGCGCGUGUAGGCGGCUAAGUAAGUCGGGCGUGAAAUCCCACGGCUCAACCGUGGAAGUGCACUCGAAACUGCAUAGCUAGAGUCCUGGAGAGGAAGGUGGAAUGCUUGGUGUAGAGGUGAAAUUCGUAGAUAUCAAGCGGAACACCGGUGGCGAAGGCGGCCUGCUGGGCUAUGGCUGACACUGAGGCGCGACAGCGUGGGGAGCAAACAGG
RNAcentral lists this ribosomal RNA (254 nucleotides) under uncultured bacterium. Its description in RNAcentral is "partial 16S ribosomal RNA". It matches the Rfam family "Bacterial small subunit ribosomal RNA", at positions 524 to 776 of the family's 1533-position model. The record is from RNAcentral.